This 381-nucleotide unclassified non-coding RNA is filed under the name soil metagenome. Its description in RNAcentral is "partial contains 5.8S ribosomal RNA, internal transcribed spacer 2, and large subunit ribosomal RNA". The stretch from base 1 to 120 matches the Rfam family "5.8S ribosomal RNA", at positions 35 to 154 of the family's 154-position model. The record is from RNAcentral.
GAUGAAGAACGUAGCGAAAUGCGAUAAGUAAUGUGAAUUGCAGAAUUCAGUGAAUCAUCGAAUCUUUGAACGCACCUUGCACCCUUUGGCAUUCCGAAGGGUAUGCUCGUUUGAGUGUCAUUGUACUCUCACACUUCCGAUCUUUGGAUUGGGAGCGGUGGACUUGGGUGUUGCUGCUUACUGUGGCUCACCUCAAAUCGAUUCGUGCACCUCUUGGUUGGACAUAGUACGGCGUGAUAAGUGUCUUCGCCGGCACCUCAGUAGAGGGUGGCUGAUCGGGAGCUCUGUUGCUUCAAACUGUCUUCGGACAAUCUUCUGGCGACUUGACCUCAAAUCGAGUAGGACUACCCGCUGAACUUAAGCAUAUCAAUAAGCGGAGGA